This 463-nucleotide ribosomal RNA is filed under the name uncultured bacterium. RNAcentral describes it as "bacterial SSU rRNA". It matches the Rfam family "Bacterial small subunit ribosomal RNA", at positions 29 to 485 of the family's 1533-position model. The record is from RNAcentral.
AACGAACGCUGGCGGCAGGCCUAACACAUGCAAGUCGAGCGGCAGCACGGGUACUUGUACCUGGUGGCGAGCGGCGGACGGGUGAGUAAUGCCUAGGAAUCUGCCUGGUAGUGGGGGAUAACGCUCGGAAACGGACGCUAAUACCGCAUACGUCCUACGGGAGAAAGCAGGGGGACCUUCGGGCCUUGCGCUAUCAGAUGAGCCUAGGUCGGAUUAGCUAGUUGGUGAGGUAAUGGCUCACCAAGGCGACGAUCCGUAACUGGUCUGAGAGGAUGAUCAGUCACACUGGAACUGAGACACGGUCCAGACUCCUACGGGAGGCAGCAGUGGGAAUAUUGGACAAUGGGCAAAGCCUGAUCCAGCCAUGCCGCGUGUGUGAAGAAGGUCUUCGGAUUGUAAAGCACUUUAAGUUGGGAGGAAGGGCAGUUACCUAAUACGUAUCUGUUUUGACGUUACCGACUAG